Mytilus californianus (California mussel) is the source of this 271-nucleotide long non-coding RNA. RefSeq lists it as uncharacterized. NCBI's taxonomy places the organism in Eukaryota, Metazoa, Mollusca, Bivalvia, Mytilida, Mytilidae. The transcript has 3 exons. The record is from RefSeq and is a predicted model, not a curated record.
GACGUACACAUGUGGUUCAUCAUUUGUCUGAUAUUGUAUCAUAGUUCAGCUGAGGAAUCUGUUAGUGGAAAACUUCUGUUUGCAAGUACCCAAUCUCAAUCUGUUAUGGAAGUUGAUGUUGAUACACUCAGUGUGACUGUACUUGUUGGUCAUGGAGGAAGUCGUGUGUAUUCUUUGGACUACGAUUAUGAAAACAGAUACGUUUAUUUUCCAAGAAUUGAUUUGAGUGACAUUGUGCGAUUUCCAUAUCCCUCUCAGAACAUAGCACUGC